GAUGAACGCUAGCGUUAGGCUUAACACAUGCAAGUCGAGGGGCAGCAUGGUCUUAGCUUGCUAAGACUGAUGGCGACCGGCGCACGGGUGCGUAACGCGUAUGCAACUUGCCUCACAGAGGGGGAUAACCCGUCGAAAGACGGACUAAUACCGCGUACACUCCAUCUUGGGCAUCCAAGGUAGAGGAAAUGAAAUUCGCUGUGAGAUAGGCAUGCGUCCCAUUAGCUAGUUGGUGAGGUAACGGCUCACCAAGGCGACGAUGGGUAGGGGAACUGAGAGGUUGAACCCCCACACUGGUACUGAGACACGGACCAGACUCCUACGGGAGGCAGCAGUGAGGAAUAUUGGUCAAUGGGCGAGAGCCUGAACCAGCCAAGUCGCGUGAAGGAUGACUGUCUUAUGGAUUGUAAACUUCUUUUAUACGGGAAUAACAAGAGUCACGUGUGACUCCCUGCAUGUACCGUAUGAAUAAGCAUCGGCUAACUCCGUG
Molecule: ribosomal RNA, 490 nt
Filed under: uncultured bacterium
Lineage: Bacteria
Description: partial 16S ribosomal RNA
Rfam family: Bacterial small subunit ribosomal RNA
Source: RNAcentral